This 476-nucleotide ribosomal RNA is filed under the name Gemelliphila palaticanis. RNAcentral's name for it is "bacterial SSU rRNA". It matches the Rfam family "Bacterial small subunit ribosomal RNA", at positions 9 to 472 of the family's 1533-position model. The record is from RNAcentral. Lineage: Bacteria; Bacillati; Bacillota; Bacilli; Caryophanales; Gemellaceae.
GAGUUUGAUUAUGGCUCAGGACGAACGCUGGCGGCGUGCCUAAUACAUGCAAGUCGAGCGGAGUUGAAUAAGUGCUUGCACUAAUUCAACUUAGCGGCGAACGGGUGAGUAACACGUAAAGAACCUGCCUCAUAGACUGGGACAACUACUGGAAACGGUAGCUAAUACCGGAUAACAUAUUUUUCUGCAUGGGAAAAUAUUGAAAGUCGGUCAUGCUGACACUAUGAGAUGGCUUUGCGGUGCAUUAGCUAGUUGGUAGGGUAAAGGCCUACCAAGGCGACGAUGCAUAGCCGACCUGAGAGGGUGAUCGGCCACACUGGGACUGAGACACGGCCCAGACUCCUACGGGAGGCAGCAGUAGGGAAUCUUCCGCAAUGGACGAAAGUCUGACGGAGCAACGCCGCGUGAGUGAAGAAGGAUUUCGGUUCGUAAAACUCUGUUGUUAGGGAAGAAUGAUUGUAUAGUAACUAUAUACA